Long non-coding RNA from Vombatus ursinus (common wombat), 471 nucleotides. RefSeq lists it as uncharacterized. Lineage: Eukaryota; Metazoa; Chordata; Mammalia; Diprotodontia; Vombatidae. The record is from RefSeq and is a predicted model, not a curated record. The transcript has 3 exons.
UGGAUGGCACAUUUGAUGCUGAGAUGAUGCAGCUGGCUGGUGACUUUUAAGAAGAGAAGGUCAUUCUGGAAGAGGAAAGUCAAUGGAUGUAAAGGAGUCUUUUCUUAUGUGGAAUUACAGGCACUGAAGGGGACCUCUUGUGCAGAUCCAGAGGCCUGGAGAGGCUUUCUUUUACAGAGUUGUAAAGAGUUCAGAGGAUUCAUCCAUUCAGACCAACCUCAUUCCAGGAAAUAACAUGCAAAGCUGAGGGAAGGGACUGCAGUAACCAGAGGCCCAUCUGGAAACCACAUGCUGUGCUUUGAGGUCACCUGCUUCGGCAGCUUCCGCCCUCCUCCUCCCCUUAACAUGAUGGCCCAAAGGCAGGACAUCUCUGCAUCUGCUGACAUGCUGAGUUACUGAGGGAGGCUGCCCCUCCUGGAGCAGCGGAUGGGUGUGUGUGUGUGUGUGUGUGUGUGUGUGUGUGUGUGUGUG